AGGACGAACGCUGGCGGCGUGCCUAACACAUGCAAGUCGAACGUCCUGUCUCGCAAGAGGCAGGGAGUGGCGGACGGGUGAGUACCACGUGGGUCAUCUACCGUGAGGUGAGGAAUACCGGCGAGAAAUCGCCGACAAGACCGCAUAGCCUCGGUGCAAGCCGAGGAAAGCUUUCUCGAGAGAGGGAGCGCCACACGAGGAGCCUGCGCCCGAUUAGCUAGCUGGUGGAGUAACGGUUCACCAGGGCGACGAUCGGUAGCUGGUCUGAGAGGACGAUCAGCCACACUGGGAUUGAGAACGGCCCAGACUCCUACGGGGGGCAGCAGUGAGGAAUUUUCGUCAAUGGGGGCAACCCUGAACGAGCAACGCCGCGUGCAGGAAGAAGGUUUCGGAUCGUAAACUGCUUUUCGUCGGGGAAGAGAACGAACGGUACCCGAGGAAUCAGCCCCGGCUAACUACGUGCCAGCAGCCGC
Molecule: ribosomal RNA, 473 nt
Filed under: uncultured bacterium
Lineage: Bacteria
Description: SSU rRNA
Rfam family: Bacterial small subunit ribosomal RNA
Source: RNAcentral